This 778-nucleotide ribosomal RNA is filed under the name uncultured bacterium. RNAcentral describes it as "bacterial SSU rRNA". It matches the Rfam family "Bacterial small subunit ribosomal RNA", at positions 8 to 796 of the family's 1533-position model. The record is from RNAcentral.
AGAGUUUGAUCAUGGCUCAGGACGAACGCUGGCGGCGUGCUUAACACAUGCAAGUCAAGGGGGCCCAGCAAUGGGCAACCGGCGAACGGGUGCGUAACACGUGAGCAACCUACCGAACUGUGGGGGAUAGCCGGCCUAACGGCCGAGUAAUACCGCAUACGCUCUCAGAGAGGCAUUUCUUUGAGAGGAAACCUACGGGACAGAUCGAGGGGCUCGCGGCCUAUCAGCUAGUUGGCGAGGUAACGGCUCACCAAGGCAACGACGGGUAGCUGGUCUGAGAGGAUGGCCAGCCACAUUGGGACUGAGAUACGGCCCAGACUCCUACGGGAGGCAGCAGUGGGGAAUCUUGCGCAAUGGCCUAACGGCUGACGCAGCGACGCCGCGUGUGGGAUGAAGCUCCUCGGAGUGUAAACCACUGUUGCCCGGGACGAAUAGCUCGAUUAAUCGAGCCUGACGGUACCGGGUGAGGAAGCACCGGCUAACUCCGUGCCAGCAGCCGCGGUAAUACGGGGGGUGCGAGCGUUGUCCGGAAUCACUGGGCGUAAAGGGCGCGUAGGUGGUUUGAUAAGGGUGUGGUGAAAGUCCGGGGCUCAACCCCGGAUCUGCCGUGCCGACUGUCAAACUCGAGGGCUGUAGAGGCAGGCGGAAUUCCGGGUGUAGCGGUGGAAUGCGUAGAGAUCCGGAGGAAGACCGGUGGCGAAGGCGGCCUGCUGGGCAGUUUCUGACGCUGAUGCGCGACAGCGUGGGGAGCAAACAGGAUUAGAUACCCUAGUAGUCC